Molecule: non-coding RNA, 72 nt
Organism: Pavlovales sp. CCMP2436
Lineage: Eukaryota; Haptophyta; Pavlovophyceae; Pavlovales
Source: the annotation of a GenBank genome assembly
GUCCCCAUGGCCUAACGGAUAAGGCAUCUGCCCCCGGAGCAGGGUAUCCGCGUUCGAAUCGCGGUGGGGAUA